Molecule: long non-coding RNA, 1106 nt
Filed under: Brachypodium distachyon (stiff brome)
Lineage: Eukaryota; Viridiplantae; Streptophyta; Magnoliopsida; Poales; Poaceae
Description: long non-coding RNA (BDIS_LNC003487)
Source: RNAcentral
GUAAAAUCAAAUCGAUAGCCCUGAUGUAACACUUCCUUUGCAAACAAUACUAGCGAAUGGGCAUGAAUGUUCCACACUUGAGGGGAAAAGUCUCAAUUCAGACCGACGAGACAUAAUUUAGUCGGUCCAUGGGAUAGAUGUUUGCUUUUUCAUGUUGACAUAUCGUAAUACAACACUAUGAUAUAGUAAAGUGACAUGAAAACCCAAGUUUUGGUGAAAAGCUAGUAACAAAACAGUAAGGAACAUUCAAACCCAAGCCCUAGAGUGAGGAAAACACGCAAUUCGGACAGAGGGAGAAGAAUUCUGUGAGGGCUUGGGGUAGAUUUGUUGUUUCACAUGUGCCCAUGUGGAAAUAGAACACUAAGUAAUAGCAAAACAUCAGGAAAAUCAAUGUUUUGGUGAAAAGCUACCCCGUAGACGCCACGAGGCCCACGGGAGGGGGCGAUGCCUCAAAUCACACGACGGAUGGUCUAGAGAACUUGGAAUCUUGGAUGAUGUCAUCAAAUGGGUACAUAAAGAUGGUGUUAAGAGGAAAACACAAUCUAGGUAUCUGAGGUUGCACUUCCUUCACAAACUAGACGAACCUGCACGGAAGUUCCAGACAUAGGGGGGAAAGUCACAAUUCGGAUGGACGAAGCAGAAUCCUAAUACAACACUAUGAUAGAGUAAAGUGACAUGAAAACCCAAGUUUUGGUGAAAAGCUAGCCCGCAGACGCCACGAGGCCCGCAGGAGAGGGUGACGUCUAAUUUAGAAUCGACGGAGCUGAAAUUAGCGAGGACUUGAGUUAAAUUUUUGGUUUCCUUGCACACAUUUUCUAGUAAAACAGUAAGACAAAUUAAAGUGGCAAUAAAUCCCAAGUUUGUGAAGUAAAUAAGUAAGGAAAGAAAAAAAAAAGGAAAAAUGGUCUUUGCCGGCGGCUUUAGUAAGGGCUGCCAGCAAAGACACCUAUGUCGACGGCUUUACUUCGGGCUGCCGGCAUAGGAUUUUAGGUUUUUUUUUAGUAAAAAACCCCGGCCGGCUCUCUCUUUCCCCACUGCAACCUUUCUCGUUCCCCAUCGCAUGCCGCCACCCGCCGCCGCUCUCCUCGCCGCCGCCUCCUGCGGAU